UAGGGUCAUAUCACGUUGAAACACCGGUUCUCGUACGAUUACGGAAGUUAAGCAACGUCGAUCCUGUUCAGCAAAUAGAUGCGUGACGCUUGGGAAUACCAGGUGGUGUAAU
Molecule: non-coding RNA, 112 nt
Organism: Acanthosepion pharaonis
Lineage: Eukaryota; Metazoa; Mollusca; Cephalopoda; Sepiida; Sepiidae
Source: the annotation of a GenBank genome assembly